Long non-coding RNA from Zingiber officinale, 1832 nucleotides. RefSeq lists it as uncharacterized. The transcript is spliced from 2 exons. The record is from RefSeq and is a predicted model, not a curated record. NCBI's taxonomy places the organism in Eukaryota, Viridiplantae, Streptophyta, Magnoliopsida, Zingiberales, Zingiberaceae.
UUUUUGUUAUAAUUCCUCACCGUGCCCUAUUCCUCCCUAAUCGCCGAACCCUUCCUCACCUCAUCUCGUCGCCGCCCUGAUUCUUCCUCCUCUCUCGCACCGUUUACUCCCUGCUCCUCAUCUUCUCCAACUGGCGCCCCUUUCUCUUCUUUCAUGUCAUCUUCCCUCCUCUGUCAUCGUCUUCUCAUCGCAAAGGUCCUCACCACGCCGAUUGUCACGAGAGCACCGCCGACAGCAGUCAUUCUCUCCGCGAGCCUCACCAACACCAAGCUCUCUAGGCUAUCAGGUGGCCCGAUCCUCUUCUACUUUUUCCCCUUGCAUCUCUGCCCUAGAUGCAGUCGGCGUCAUCGCAUCCGACCACAGUACCUGCAAUUUUGGGUUGCUAGCGUCGCUGCCAUCUCUUUCACCGGCUGUCACUUCUUCCUCUUCCAUCUGCCACCAUCAAAGAGCUGAGUACACAGGAGAGUAGGAUUGUUCUUCCGCGUAUCAGCAAUUGUGAGGGGUUACCACGCGUUGCCCCCUUCAAUUGUGUCGUGGCCAUCCGGUCGCCCACAAGGAGAUAUGAGAUGUUGUCAUCUCUAUUCCUCUUCCCUGUUUGAUAGCUGUCACAGCUUAUCAACAGAUUGGCAUCUUCUGGAUUGCAGAUCCAUUGCUACGGUGACCCCAUUUGUGCUUGGAUUUGUGCCACUGUUGUGUAUCGGUGAAUUCUGAGGUGGUGAGGGUUGUUGGACUCAAGAAUUUCUUUUAUUUUUUCCUUUUCUUUUAUUUUUUAUUCACAAGAAUUUCUUUUUUCAUUUUCCUUUUUUUCUAACAUUUGUACUCUUUGCAUUCUCAUUUCUAUGUUUAGUGUUUAUUGUAUUUUAGGUUGUUACAUAUUGUUUCCUUAUAGCCACAAUGAUCUAACUAAUUUGUAGAUGAGAAUGAGGUUAUCUAGAGGUAAUCAAGUUAUCCAAGAAUUAUACCUAAUUAUUUAAUUAGGUAAUUCUACUUUUCCAUAUUCUAGUGUGACUUAUGUUUCACUCGUUAGUAUCAUGCAGGAUACCAAGAGCAAACGUUGCAUUAGCCACAACAACCAAGAGCAAAUGUUGGAUUCAAAACCAUCUUUUAAUCUUUUGCUUGAUACUAUUUGCUUACUAUCUUCUAUAGUUUUGUUUAUUAACAUUAUAGGAUUAUUUCUUAGCAAUAUUUAUAGUUCGUGUGGUAUUGUGUUUGUAGAUAUUAAAUUUUUUUAGUUUAUGAUUUAAAUUAAUCAAUGUAUAGUAAGAAGACCAGCAAGUUUUUUCUAUUAUCUUGUAUUUGAUUUUGUUAUAGGUACUUAGAGAUUCUAAGUUUGAGAUACAAAUUUGAAGAAAAUCCUACUUAAGUAUUUGUUCACACUAACCUAUUUUUUAUGGUUUUGUGAUGCCUAUUGUUUCACAGCCAAGAGAGUCUUCAUGACUUGUUAAUUCUUUAGCAUUGAUGACUAUGGACUAAUUAGUAGAUUUUCUCAACAAAAUUGGUUGGUUCAUUCAUCUGUAUAAGAGAAGCAAUUUAUCUCAUGAAAUUCGAAGACAGGGAGGGCAAAAAGAAGAAAUUGAAGGCAUGCAUACUAUUAGCUUGAGGAUGGAGGAACAAAUUAUUGAAAGGGAAAACAAACUUGUUAUUACAGAAAGUAGGCAGAGAGAAAAAAAUCUCAAGGAGAUGAUUCAGAAAUGAUUCAAGAAAUGGAAUAUACUAAUUAUUUAUAUCUAGAAAAAUUUGGUCUUUAUAGUUUGAUUAUUGGUCAAAUUUGUUUGGAUAAUGUAAAUUUUAUUUAUUUUAAUGUUAAUUGUAUAAUACAUUUGGAAUUAAAA